CAGCAAGCCGCUCACUUUUCGUGAGGCGUCACAUCCUGCUGCUUCACCCUCUGGUGCACGGGAGGACCAACUAUUUCAGUCGCAAGGAGUCUCAUAUCUUCUACCAGCAUCCAUGCAACCAUGACAGGAUAACUUGAUAGCCUGCUAAUAGGAGACCAUAUGUGUCAUGGUGUCUCCAGUGCUUAUCAUGCCUGGGCCAUAACAAGCUUUU
This 211-nucleotide long non-coding RNA is filed under the name Homo sapiens (human). Its description in RNAcentral is "HSALNT0364181". Lineage: Eukaryota; Metazoa; Chordata; Mammalia; Primates; Hominidae. The record is from RNAcentral.